RNAcentral lists this ribosomal RNA (528 nucleotides) under Triticum aestivum (bread wheat). RNAcentral's name for it is "partial small subunit ribosomal RNA". The record is from RNAcentral. Lineage: Eukaryota; Viridiplantae; Streptophyta; Magnoliopsida; Poales; Poaceae.
AUGCCCCCACUCGCUACUCGUCGCACGCGCGCACGUAUGAGCCGACGCUCUCUGUAUAAAGCGGCCACUGUGCACAAGUCAAAUCGGCCAAGAGGAGAAGCCAAGCAAAGAAGCACAACACAUCUCUGUCUUCAUUCACACGCGCGUGCGCGCAAGAGAGAGAGAGAGAGAGAGAGGAUUCCUGGUUCGGUGGCGCUCGGCAAUGUGAUGGCGCAGCCGCGGCAGCAGCAACGACAACGGCGCCUCAUCGCGGCGCUCCUGGUGCUCCUCUCCCUCUGCUGCCUUGCUCGCCUCGGCGCCGCGGCUUCUGCAGCGAGGACUGACCCUGGCCGGAAGGAUGGAGCGGCAACUGCGCUGGACAAGGCCGAGUCACAGGAGGAGGAGGCAGCGCCCGGGUUCACGGUGACCACCGUGCAGGAGCAAGGGCGAGGGCGAGGACCGGUGAGGGUGGUGAUGGAGGUCGACAUCGAGGACUAUCCCCGGUAUGGCGCCAAUGGUCGGCACAACCCGGAGGGUCCGCACCCGUGA